GACCUCAAAUCGGGUGAGACUACCCGCUGAACUUAAGCAUAUCAAUAAGCGGAGGA
This 56-nucleotide ribosomal RNA is filed under the name uncultured fungus. RNAcentral's name for it is "partial 28S ribosomal RNA". The record is from RNAcentral. Lineage: Eukaryota; Fungi.